GACGAACGCUGGCGGCGUGCUUAACACAUGCAAGUCGAACGGAAAGGCCCUGCUUUUGUGGGGUGCUCGAGUGGCGAACGGGUGAGUAACACGUGAGUAACCUGCCCUUGACUUUGGGAUAACUUCAGGAAACUGGGGCUAAUACCGGAUAGGAGCUCCUGCUGCAUGGUGGGGGUUGGAAAGUUUCGGCGGUUUGGGAUGGACUCGCGGCCUAUCAGCUUGUUGGUGGGGUAGUGGCUUACCAAGGCUUUGACGGGUAGCCGGCCUGAGAGGGUGACCGGCCACAUUGGGACUGGGGUCCGGCCCGGACUCCUACGGGAGGCAGCAGUGGGGAAUAUUGCACAAUGGGCGGAGGCCUGAUGCAGCAACGCCGCGUGCGGGAUGACGGCCUUCGGGUUGUAACCCGCUUUCGCCUGUGACGAAGCGUGAGUGACGGUAAUGGGUAAAGAAGCACCGGCUAACUACGUG
Molecule: ribosomal RNA, 468 nt
Filed under: uncultured bacterium
Lineage: Bacteria
Description: partial 16S ribosomal RNA
Rfam family: Bacterial small subunit ribosomal RNA
Source: RNAcentral